GAUGAACGCUGGCGGCGUGCCUAAUACAUGCAAGUCGAGCGAACGGACGAGAAGCUUGCUUUUCUGAUGUUAGCGGCGGACGGGCGAGUAACACGUGGAUAACCUACCUAUAAGACUGUGAUAACUUCGGGAAACCGGAGCUAAUACCGGAUAAUAUUUUGAACCGCAUGGUUCAAAAGUGAAAGACGGUCUUGCUGUCACUUAUAGAUGGAUCCGCGCUGCAUUAGCUAGUUGGUAAGGUAACGGCUUACCAAGGCAACGAUGCAUAGCCGACCUGAGAGGGUGAUCGACUACACUGGAACUGAGACACGGUCCAGACUCCGACGCGAGGCAGCAGUAGGGAAUCCUACGCGAUGGACGAAAGCCUGACGGAGCAACGCCGCGUGAGUGCUGAAGGUCUUAUGAUCGUAGAACUCUGUUAUUAGGGAAGUACAUAUGUGUAAGUACCUGUGCACAUCUUGACGGUACCUAAUCAGAAAGCCACGGCUAACUACGUG
This 497-nucleotide ribosomal RNA is filed under the name uncultured bacterium. RNAcentral's name for it is "partial 16S ribosomal RNA". It matches the Rfam family "Bacterial small subunit ribosomal RNA", at positions 28 to 507 of the family's 1533-position model. The record is from RNAcentral.